This 100-nucleotide unclassified non-coding RNA is filed under the name Trypanosomatidae sp. 16EC-B. The record is from RNAcentral. Lineage: Eukaryota; Euglenozoa; Kinetoplastea; Trypanosomatida; Trypanosomatidae.
AACUAACGCAUUUUUUGUUACAGUUUCUGUACUUUAUUGGUAUGAGAAACUUCCAGAACAUUAUGUUCUGUGACAAAUUUUAGAGACCAAGCCUUCGGCC